This 148-nucleotide small RNA is filed under the name Pongo abelii (Sumatran orangutan). RNAcentral describes it as "Metazoan signal recognition particle RNA (ENSPPYG00000036697.1)". The record is from Rfam by way of RNAcentral. Lineage: Eukaryota; Metazoa; Chordata; Mammalia; Primates; Hominidae.
GCCGGGUGUGGUGGUGCGUGCCUGUAAUCCUAGCUGUUGGGGAGGCUGAGGCAGGAGAAUCACUUGAACCCAGGAGGUGGAAGUUGCAGUGAGCUGAGAUCACACAACUGCACUCCAGCCUGGGUGACAGAGUGAGACUCUGUCUCAA